UCCGUAGGUGAACCUGCGGAGGGAUCAUUACUGAGUUUACGCUCUACAACCCUUUGUGAACAUACCUAUAACUGUUGCUUCGGCGGGCAGGGUCUCCGUGACCCUCCCGGCCUCCCGCCCCCGGGCGGGUCGGCGCCCGCCGGAGGAUAACCAAACUCUGAUUUAACGACGUUUCUUCUGAGUGGUACAAGCAAAUAAUCAAAACUUUUAACAACGGAUCUCUUGGUUCUGGCAUCGAUGAAGAACGCAGCGAAAUGCGAUAAGUAAUGUGAAUUGCAGAAUUCAGUGAAUCAUCGAAUCUUUGAACGCACAUUGCGCCCGCCAGCAUUCUGGCGGGCAUGCCUGUUCGAGCGUCAUUUCAACCCUCAAGCUCUGCUUGGUGUUGGGGCCCUACAGCUGAUGUAGGCCCUCAAAGGUAGUGGCGGACCCUCCCGGAGCCUCCUUUGCGUAGUAACUUUACGUCUCGCACUGGGAUCCGGAGGGACUCUUGCCGUAAAACCCCCAAUUUUCCAAAGGUUGACCUCGGAUCAGGUAGGAAUACCCGCUGAACUUAAGCAUAUCAAUAAGCGGAGG
Molecule: ribosomal RNA, 573 nt
Filed under: Colletotrichum cigarro
Lineage: Eukaryota; Fungi; Ascomycota; Sordariomycetes; Glomerellales; Glomerellaceae
Description: eukaryotic LSU rRNA
Rfam family: 5.8S ribosomal RNA (bases 203-356)
Source: RNAcentral